Long non-coding RNA from Neopelma chrysocephalum (saffron-crested tyrant-manakin), 257 nucleotides. RefSeq lists it as uncharacterized. The transcript is spliced from 3 exons. The record is from RefSeq and is a predicted model, not a curated record. Lineage: Eukaryota; Metazoa; Chordata; Aves; Passeriformes; Pipridae.
GCCCCUCCGGCUCGCGGACAACCGGUACGGUCGCCUGCGCGGGAAACCGCCGAAGGAAUAAGGUCUGAAACUAAACUGGUAUGAGACUGGAGAUUUGAAAAUACUACUAGAAAAUACAGUCGGAGUUUUUUGCUACUGCAAGGACCCUAACAAGUUACAGGCUAUUUCUGCUCAAACUUACUGUUCAUUGUCCAAGACCUAAGCACAUCAAAGAAGGUAUUUCUCCUGAAAUUUUAAGCCACUUGGUACCUAAUAGU